CGUCUAUAUACGUAUAGCAUAUCAAUAAGCGGAGGAAAAGAAACUAACUAGGAUUCCCUCAGUAACGGCGAGUGAAGCGGGAAGAGCUCAAAUUUGAAAUCUUCAAGGUUUUACCUUGACGAAUUGUAGUUUAAAGAAGUGUUUUCUGUUGAAGUUUCGGUAAAAGUUCUUUGGAAUAGGACAUCAUAGAGGGUGAGAAUCCCGUAUUUGACGUUAUUCAUUCUAGCUGUGUGAUACACUUUCAAAGAGUCGGAUUGUUUGGGAAUGCAGUCCAAAAUGGGUGGUAAAUUUCAUCUAAAGCUAAAUAUUGGCGAGAGACCGAUAGCGAACAAGUACCGUGAGGGAAAGAUGAAAAGAACUUUGAAAAGAGAGUUAAACAGUACGUGAAAUUGUCAAAAGGGAAGCGUUUGACACCAGUGUUGUUUUUCUCGAAAAUCAAUUAAGAAUGGCUUGAUUUUGUGUUGUAGUCUUUUAAUGCACUUUUCGUUUAACAAGUCAACAUCAAUUUCUUUUGUUGUAAAAGAGUCAUUGGAAGGUGGCUUUCAUUUCGGUGAAAGUGUUUAUAGCCUUUGGCUUCUGCAAUCGGAGAGAUUGAGGUCUGCAGCGUAGAUCCUUCGGGGCUAGAUACGUAGAUGCUAAGUUAUAGUUUUUUAUAGACAACUUGUUGACUAUAAUUAAUCAUGUAGCUUACUCGUUUGCGCUAUUUUACCUACGCUUAGGAUGUUGACUGAUAUGUAGUCGUA
Molecule: ribosomal RNA, 743 nt
Filed under: uncultured Neocallimastigales
Lineage: Eukaryota; Fungi; Neocallimastigomycota; Neocallimastigomycetes; Neocallimastigales
Description: partial large subunit ribosomal RNA
Rfam family: Eukaryotic large subunit ribosomal RNA
Source: RNAcentral